Molecule: ribosomal RNA, 292 nt
Filed under: uncultured bacterium
Lineage: Bacteria
Description: partial 16S ribosomal RNA
Rfam family: Bacterial small subunit ribosomal RNA
Source: RNAcentral
GUGUCAGCAGCCGCGGUAAUACGAACUGCGCGAACGUUAUUCGGAAUCACUGGGCUUACAGGGUGCGUAGGUGGCAUCGAAAGUAGGGUGUGAAAUGCCUUGGCUCAACCAAGGCACAGCGCUCUAAACUACUUUGCUUGAGUGAGUCAGGGGUGCACGGAACUUCCGGUGGAGCGGUGAAAUGUGUUGAUAUCGGAAGGAACACCGGCGGCGAAAGCGGUGCACUGGGGCUUAACUGACACUGAGGCACGAAAGCCAGGGGAGCGAACGGGAUUAGAAACCCCUGUAGUCC